Long non-coding RNA from Gossypium raimondii (Peruvian cotton), 2620 nucleotides. RefSeq lists it as uncharacterized. The transcript is spliced from 2 exons. NCBI's taxonomy places the organism in Eukaryota, Viridiplantae, Streptophyta, Magnoliopsida, Malvales, Malvaceae. The record is from RefSeq and is a predicted model, not a curated record.
AAGCUUGCUCGAAUUGAAUACUCGAGACUAAUGUUGGGAUGUAGGCUUCAUCGUCUGUUUCAAUUUCGGUGAAUUCAAUGAUGGUUGAUGAGGGUUCAGGUGAGACAAGGGGGUCAUAUGGGCCGUGGAUGCUUGUGGAGCGAAGCCCACGACGUAAAAUGAAGGACAGUAGGAUGGUUGGUGUCAGAAAUCCAGUGAGUAAAUCUGAAGGAUCUAAAUUUAAUGUUUUAAUUUCUUUAGGUAAGGAAAUGUAUGAGACUGUGGAUGGUGACAAGAGAUUGAGGGGCACUAGAUGUAAAGGGAAAGAAACCCUAGCAAAAGGCUCAUAAGGAGAGGGUUUUAUUUUGGGAAAACUGGGCAGUGAGGGUUGUGGGGGCCAAAUUAGGAAGUUUAAUACAUUGAGCCAUAACGGUGCAGCUGGCCCAUCAGGACAAUUAGAGAAAUUAGACCGUGUUGUUAUUAGGUCUUUAGGACCAAAAGGGGUCAGAACUUUGAUGAGUAAACGAGGGAAGGACACGCUACAUGGUAACAAUUUUUUAGACAAACAACCAGGCCAAAAUUCUGGGUUGAGUGCUGCUCUUAAGGGAGAGAAUCCAUCUUUGUUGGAUUAAGUUGUGAAGGCUGGUAGGAGUCAUUAAGCCCAGCUAGUGGGUGUUGAGGAAAUCGUUGGGGAAGAAUUACCCAGUGCGGUUGGUGAUGCUCCGAUAGUGAGAGCUGGAGUUAGUUUGAUUUCUAGUAUUCAAUUGAGGACAACUCAUUUUAAUCUUACUUUUGAGGGGCCGGUAGAGUUUGUGGUUUAGAUUUUAGAGGGUGGUAUUGACAUUGGGAAACACACUUCAAUUAUCUUUAAGGAAAACACAAAAAAAACCAAAUAUUUGUGAUUCGAUAGAUGGAGAGUCGAUGAUGGGAUCAGGUAAGGAUUCUUUUCGGAGUUCUGGGCAUGGUUCGAGGGAAAAAUCGGGGGUUGGUCGACACGGUAAAAAUUAUAUAAAAUAAUUCAUUAUCAAGGGAGUCAUUUGAAGACAUCUGGUAGCCCGUGCGCUCCAUUAUCUGAAUCUUUGAAUACUAUGGCUGAAUUUUUUGCUUCUCAAUCUGCAGUGGAUGUUGGUACAAGUAAUUCAACUGGGGUGGGGAACAAAAUGUUAGUCUAAAGAAUCCUAGACAGUGAGGUUCAUCUCUCUUUUCCCGUUUUUAUGGAUUUGAAUUUAACCAUUUUCUCGUAGAACUAUCACAGAUGUGCUAAUGCCAAAUUUGGUAGAGUUUUCAUGGAAUAUAGUUUGGAGUAUAGACCAGAUAUUGUGUGCUUAUUGAAGCCUAGAAUCAAUGGUGGUAUUUGGCUUGGUUGGAAGGAUACUAUUCGGGUAGAGGUGAUUCAGAACCAUCCUUAAUUCAGUUUUGUUCGAGUGCUCAGUAAUGUCCCUUUCAAUAUUAUUUAUAUCUCAUUUGUGUAUGGUAGCCUGGAUAGGCAGAAGCGGAAGCUCCUUUGGGAUGAUUUGAAAUUUUUCAUGUUGGAAAAAUUCUAUUUGAAAAUGAUUUUCUUGCACAUGAAAAAAUAAAAAUUUUGAAAAAUGACUUGAUUUAUGAUAUUUAUAGCAAUAAACGUUACACCGAAAUUGUACUUAUGUUUUUGGAAAGUGGAUACUUGAUGUUUUUCGGCUUUUAACCAAACAAUCUUUUUUGUUAUUCUCAUACCACUAACUACUUCAAGUGUGGGCUCGAACCAAUUGAAUCAAAACAUAAAACUAGAAGAAGUUUUUCUUUUGGGGUGAAAACAAAAAUUCUCUCUUCUUUAAUAGAAACUGAUAACUCUUGAAAAGAGUUAUAAUUAAUGCCUUUAGACUGGGUCAAUUGUCUGUACUUAAGUGAACUUAGUUGCAUUUUAGAAUAUUAUUUUAGCAUUUUUAGAACAUUACAUAAGAAGCUUAGAUGGUGCUUUAAUAUUAAUAUUUGUUACUUCUAAUUGCAUGUGGAAGGGUUGUGUUAUGAUUGGCAGGUGCAGGAUACGGAAAAAGUAAUAAAGGAAUGAAGGUUUGUCGUGGCAAAAGGUUGGAUAGUUUUCCAACACGAAUGUCGUGGAAAUUCCAAGAAGACCGAGUCAACACUCAACUCAUACUAGUUUUAGCCCAACUGUACUUGUAUCGAAAAAUCUGCCUAAAAUAGAGGAGAAGAUAAUCUUCGGAUGUUGGUUUUUAUCCUAGAAAAAAACUUGAAAAGUAGAGAAGAUAAACAUGGGUUGUUGGAAAAAAAGUUAUAAAAAGCAAAAGGAGAAAACCCUAAAGGACGAACAAGGGUGAAGAUCCAUAAGCGAAACUAGAGGGUAGCAUUUGAGUAGAGACGGAAAGAGGAAGACGAAGACAGUCCCUCUCAACCAUCACAGGACACUGUGUCGUUGGAGUGUGAACUGGACACGUGAAAGCUAUCUUCCUGUCGUUCUUCUCUUAUUUCUUAACUAUUUCUCUGUGAAUUGAUUUGAUGAAAACAAUGUUGAAUGAUAUUUUGGUUUUGAAUUUUAUUUGCCAACCUAUGAGCUAAAUCUCAUAGGGUUGGGAUUACAUGAUGAAUCAUUUGUUUUCUUUAAUGGUUGAAGCAUAGAUCUGAAUUAAUUUACAAUUUCAUUCAA